AAUGGUCGGAAGACUGAUCCAGCCAUGCCGCGUGAAGGAUGAAGGCGCUCAGCGUUGUAAACUUCUUUUGGACGGGAACAAAAUGCGGGAUUUAUCCUGUACUGAGGGUACCGUCAGAAUAAGCACCGGCUAACUCCGUGCCAGCAGCCGCGGUAAUACGGAGGGUGCAAGCGUUAUCCGGAAUCACUGGGUUUAAAGGGUGCGUAGGCGGUCUGAUAAGUCAGUCGUGAAAUCGCUGGGCUCAACCCAUGCAACUGCGAUUGAUACUGUCAGACUUGAAUCAGGUUGAGGUAGGCGGAAUGUGGCAUGUAGCGGUGAAAUGCUUAGAUAUGCCAUAGAACACCGAUUGCGAAGGCAGCUUGCUGGGCCUGAAUUGACGCUGAGGCACGAAAGCGUGGGGAGCAAA
This 406-nucleotide ribosomal RNA is filed under the name uncultured bacterium. RNAcentral describes it as "bacterial SSU rRNA". It matches the Rfam family "Bacterial small subunit ribosomal RNA", at positions 370 to 772 of the family's 1533-position model. The record is from RNAcentral.